AUUGAACGCUGGCGGCAUGCCUUACACAUGCAAGUCGAACGGCAGCAUGGAGGAGCUUGCUCCUCUGAUGGCGAGUGGCGAACGGGUGAGUAAAGCAUCGGAACGUACCGUGUAGUGGGGGAUAACGCAGCGAAAGCUGCGCUAAUACCGCAUACGCCCUGAGGGGGAAAGCGGGGGACCGUAAGGCCUCGCGCGAUUAGAGCGGCCGAUAUCUGAUUAGCUUGUUGGUGGGGUAAAAGCCCACCAAGGCGACGAUCAGUAGCUGGUCUGAGAGGACGAUCAGCCACACUGGGACUGAGACACGGCCCAGACUCCUACGGGAGGCAGCAGUGGGGAAUUUUGGACAAUGGGGGGCAACCCUGAUCCAGCAAUGCCGCGUGAGUGAAGAAGGCCUC
Molecule: ribosomal RNA, 395 nt
Filed under: uncultured bacterium
Lineage: Bacteria
Description: bacterial SSU rRNA
Rfam family: Bacterial small subunit ribosomal RNA
Source: RNAcentral